AUUCCACAUGUGUAGCAUAUAUACAUCAAAUUAGUAUGUAACUGUAAUCAGAAGGACAGCUCUGAGGGAUGUAUAAAUGAAAUCCUAUUUUCCAGACAAUCUUAAAGUUUCCAAGUGGGAAGGGAAAGGAGCUGUCACAAAGCUGUCCUUGCCUUGCACAGAUUAGUGAUGCCAGCAUUGGAUCAGCACAUCAGCCAGCUGAGGGAAGAACUUUUCUAAUUUUUAUGGAGUUCAGGUUUGGCUCUGACGAGGCUGCUGGGCUGUGCUACCUAAAGGCUCUGACGGAGCAAGCAUGUGCAAAAAUAUCCAAGGAAAAUGGAUCCUCACUCAUAUGAAUCUGCUUCCCUGAUCCAAGGCUCACAGAAACCAAUGGUGGAAAAAACAACUCCUGCCA
Molecule: long non-coding RNA, 394 nt
Filed under: Crocodylus porosus (Australian saltwater crocodile)
Lineage: Eukaryota; Metazoa; Chordata; Crocodylia; Crocodylidae
Description: lncRNA (ENSCPRG00005011624.1)
Source: RNAcentral